RNAcentral lists this ribosomal RNA (497 nucleotides) under uncultured bacterium. RNAcentral's name for it is "partial 16S ribosomal RNA". It matches the Rfam family "Bacterial small subunit ribosomal RNA", at positions 28 to 507 of the family's 1533-position model. The record is from RNAcentral.
GAUGAACGCUGGCGGCGUGCCUAAUACAUGCAAGUCGAGCGAACAGACGAGGCGCUUGCUCCUCUCACGUUAGCCGCGGACGGGUGAGUAACACGUGGAUACCCCCCCUAUAAGACUGGUAACACCUCGGGACACCGGCUCUAAUCCCGGAUAAUCUAUUGAUCCGCAUUGUGCAUUAGUAAAUGACGGUUUUGCUGUAACUUCUCGAUGCAUCCGCGCCGCAUUAGCUGGUUGGUACGGUAAAGGCUUACCAAGGCAACGAUGCGUAACCGACCUGAGAGGGUGAUCGCCCACCCGGGAAGUGAAACGCCGUCCUGACUCCUACGAGAGGCAGCAGAAUGGAAUCGUCCGCAAUGGUCGAGAGCCUGACAGAGCGACGCCGAGUGAGAGAUGAAGGUCUUGGGAGCGUAAAACUCGGUUAUGAGUGAUGAACAAAUGUGUAAGUAACUGUGCACGUCUUGACGGUACCUAAUCAGAAAGCCACGGCUAACUACGUG